Long non-coding RNA from Chrysolophus pictus (golden pheasant), 2070 nucleotides. Lineage: Eukaryota; Metazoa; Chordata; Aves; Galliformes; Phasianidae. The record is from Ensembl.
UUCUCCCAGUGCCCUCCCCCCACCUCCCACCCACCGCCCUCCCAGUUCCUUCCAUUUCCUCCCAGUUCCUCCCAGUUCUUUCCCAACGCGGCCUCCCAGUCCCUCCCAGUUGCCCCCAGUGACUCCCAGUUCCUUCUUGCGCCACACCAGCGCCUCCCACUGCCUUCCCAGUUCCGCCCAGUACCUUCCAGUGACCCCAGUCCCCUCCGGCUCCCUCCCAGUAAACCCAUUGUGUCCCUCCCAGUUGCCUCCCAGUUGCUUCCUCCUUCCUCCCCGCGCCCCACCGCUGCGCUCCCAGUGCUCCCAGUUCCUUCCCAGUCCCUUCCCAGCGCCCUCCCAGUGCCUCCCAGUGUCCCCAGUUCACCUGUGGCUCCCUCCCAGUGCCCUCCAGCGCCUCCCAGUGCCUCCUCUUUGGGGGCCCAGGAGGACCACCUGGUGGGGGUGGCGUUUCUUCUGGCAGCUGUGCCCCCCCACGAUCCGGUUCUCGUCCCCCGUGGCCGCUGGGGGGGCAGAGGAACAGCUCAGCCCUCCCACUUCCUCCCACUUCCUCCCUCUUCCUCCUGGAUCCUCCCAUUUACUCCCAAUUCCUCCUGCAUCCUCCAAUUUUCUCCCAGUUCCUCCCAGUUCCUCCUGCAUCCUCCAAUUUACUCCCAGUUCCUCCAAUUUCCUCCCAGUUCCUCCCAGUUCCUCCUGGAUCCUCCAGUUUCCUCCCAGUUCCUCCUGGAUGCUCCAAUUUCCUCCAAUUUCCUCCCAAUUCCUCCUGGAUCCUCCACUUUCCUCCCAGUUCCUCCCAGUUCCUCCUGGAUCCUCCAGUUUCCUCCCAGUUCCUCCAGUUUCCUCCCAGUUCCUCCCAGUUCCUCCUGGAUCCUCCAGUUUCCUCCCAGUUCCUCCAGUUUCCUCCCAGUUCCUCCCAGUUCCUCCUGGAUCCUCCACUUUCCUCCCAGUUCCUCCAGUUUCCUCCCAGUUCCUCCCAGUUCCUCCUGCAUCCUCCAAUUUCCUCCAAUUUCCUCCCAGUUCCUCCUGCAUCCUCCAAUUUCCUCCCAGUUCCUCCCAGAUCCUCCCAUUUCCUCCCAGUUCCUUUCAGAUCCUCCCAGUUCAUCCCAGUUCUUCCUGGAUCUUUCCAGUUCCUCCCAGUUCAUCCCAGAUCCUCCUGGAUUCUCCCAGUUCAUUCCAGUUCCUUCCAGAUCACUCCAGUUCCUCCCAGUUCCUCCCAGUUCCUCCUGGAUCUUUCCAGUUCCUUCCAGUUCUUCCCAGUUCCUUCCCAGUUCCUCCCCAGUUCCUCCUGGCUCUUCCCAAUUCCUCCUGGCUCCGACCAGUUCCUUCCAGUUCAUCCCAGUAUACCCAGUUUCUUCCCUUUCCUCCCAGUUCCUCCCAGUUCCUUCCCAGUUCCUCCUGGCUUAUCCCAAUUCCUCCUGGUUCCGACCAGUUCCUUCCAGUUCCUCCCAGUUUGUUCCAGUUCCUCCCAGUUCCUCCCCAGUUUCCCCCAUCUCCCCCCCCAGUUCCUCCCGGUUCCUCCCAGUUCCUCCCAGUUCCCUCCAUUUCCUCCCAGUGCCUCCCAGUUCUUCCCAGUUCCCCGCAGUCCCUUCCAUUCUCUCCCAGUUCCUUCCAGUUCAUCCCAAUACUUCCCAGUUCCUCCCAGUUCCUCCCAAUCCCUCCCAGUUCAUCCCAGUUCAUCCCAAUCCUCCCCAGUCCCUACCAGUUCCUCCCAGUUCCCCCAGUUCCCCCCUUCCUCCGUAUCCCAGUACAUCAGUGCUCCCAGUAUAUCCCAGUGCUCCCAGUGCUCCCAGUGCUCCCAGUACUGCUGUGCUCUCAGUGCUCCCAGUGCUGCUAUGAUCCCAGUGCUCCCAGUGCCCCCAGUUCCUUCCCAGUGCCUCCCAGUGCCCCCCAGUAUCAUCCUCAGUCUACCAGUAAAUCCCUCAGUUUCCUCCCAGUGCCCACCAGUGCCUCCCAGUCACUUCCCAAUUCCCUCCCAGUCUCUUCCCAGUUCCAUCCCAGUGCCCACCAGUUACUGCCAGCCCCCUCCCAGUCCCCACCAGUCCCUUCCCAGUGCAAAACCAGUCACUCCCAGCC